ACGAUUGCAUCUUUGUGUCGUAUGUCGCAAUAGUCUGACUGAAGGUCUGCACCGAAAUUUGCCACUUCAGUUUCCAGGCAGUGAGGUUGCAGUGUCGCAUUUAAACGUGAAAUUUUAAAAUUUUUGUUUUGAAACUGAUUUAAUUUUAAUUCGAUUUUCGUUAUCAAUUUUAGAGAAAAAAAAAGUCAACUUCUAACUUUAAAAAAAUUUAAAUUAAAACUCGUUUAAUAUUCCCAAUCCAUUGGUAGCAAUUGAUAAUUUGCUUUCCGAGUUUUCGUUAUCUGAUAGAACAAGUGGUGCCGCGACAUCUCUGAUUGGAACGGGUAAAAUUCGUACGCCACUCGAAGAAGUAACAGAUUGAGCGCGCGCUUCUAGUGGAUUAACGAGCAAACCGGAGGAUGACACUGCGCGACCGGAAGUACUCGGUCUCGCAGUCGGGCCGUUACAAGUCCCGGCCGAAAAUUAGACCGGCGCUGAAGGAGGAUCUAUUCAAUUCGGAUGAUCUGGGUGUCUCAAAGGAGAAUUCUAAACCGGAUCAACAACCUGUUCAAGAAUCUACGGCAACAAACGGGAACAACGUAGGCUCCACUAAUGGCAAAAAACUCAACUCGCAGAGGAUAGUUUUUGAAACAGCACUAUGAAGCUGGCUAAACAAUUUGAGGAAGGAGAACUUAAUCGUUAUCGUUACUCGUGAAGUUGGAGGUAGCAACUUUGUGUCAUCAUUAUUUUUAUCUGUGAUAGGACUUUUUAUAAUAUAUUUUAAGUUUUACCUUUAACUUGUAAAUUACAUGGUUGUGGUUCAGUUUUAAAAUUUCAGUGAUUGGAGGUUGUUAUAGAGAUUAAGAAUAAAAUUCAUCCAGUUUUGCUUCCACAAAUUCAAGCCGAUCAUGAAUAUAAGUACAUCAAUAAAGCUUGCGGGCGUCAAUUCACAGAUAAGGCUUACUUAAACACUGCACUUCAGUGGAAUCGUCAUAAAAUAAAA
This is a long non-coding RNA of Uranotaenia lowii, 982 nucleotides long. RefSeq lists it as uncharacterized. The transcript is spliced from 2 exons. NCBI's taxonomy places the organism in Eukaryota, Metazoa, Arthropoda, Insecta, Diptera, Culicidae. The record is from RefSeq and is a predicted model, not a curated record.